Dromaius novaehollandiae (emu) is the source of this 798-nucleotide long non-coding RNA. RefSeq lists it as uncharacterized. NCBI's taxonomy places the organism in Eukaryota, Metazoa, Chordata, Aves, Casuariiformes, Dromaiidae. The transcript has 3 exons. The record is from RefSeq and is a predicted model, not a curated record.
UUUCUGGAGAAGCUUCAUGUUGCCUUAGGCCUUUCUGUCUGAGCCAUGACAACUGAUGUCCUUAUCUUCGUCUAUAAAGAGCUGAGACACUUGGCAACCAUAAAGCAACAUGCUCUUCAGUUUGGCCACUGCUUUUCAAGAAAGAUGGAAUAAAGAUUGAAAAGACAAAAAGAAUUAUGGUAAUGGGAAAAAUGAAGUUGACAUACAAGGAUAAAUUGGCAGACAGAUUUAAAAAUGUGAGGUAUCUACUCCACUGGAGUCCCUGCUGGCCAUACAAAGGGAGUGGAUUGAUAUAACGAGGGUCUAAAAGCUUGAGUCUGGCUAAGGAAGAAUGGUUACCAGGAUAACUGAGAAUGAAGAAGGUGAUUACAGACUAUGAACCAGGUAUCCCUUCUCCAGUUUUGGCAUUUAGGGGAGGGUUGCUUAUAGUGGAGCUGGGAAUAUGAAUAAUAUGUUAGGACAUGAAAGACAGGAUCUACAGUGUAUUCUGUGUAGUGUUACUGGGCAAAGAACCUGCAGACAGGCUGUUGUAACUCAGACAGGUCAGAUUUGAGAAGAUACUGCCCUGGAAAUGGCAAUUACUGAGGUGUUGUAUUCUCACUGAUUUUCAUUGUUCAACUCUUUCUGGCAAUAAGAAUUAUAUUUACUGUUCUCUGGAUUCAUCCCUGAAUGAGUGAAGACCCAGUUUUGCACACUAAGACUUAACAAUUGCUAAGGAACUUCAUACUGUAGAAGUACUUAUAUACAUACUUAAUAUACAUAUACAUACUUAAUAAAAACGGUAGGUUGUUUUUUUCU